RNAcentral lists this long non-coding RNA (287 nucleotides) under Olea europaea (common olive). Its description in RNAcentral is "long non-coding RNA (OEUR_LNC008328)". The record is from RNAcentral. Lineage: Eukaryota; Viridiplantae; Streptophyta; Magnoliopsida; Lamiales; Oleaceae.
AAACAUUGAAGAUGAUUCGAGGUGAUCCAAUCGAACCAUUGAAGAGAUUAUUGUGUUAGUUUUUCAUGCCUCAACAAGCAACCUGGAUCGAUCACAAAAAUAGUCGCGAAUGGAAAAAAUAGAUUAAACAUUGCUUAAUGACUCUUGGUGCAUCGAUUAGUGGAGUUCUGGUGUCAUGUUGAUGUCUCAGCACUGGUUAUAGUUACUGGUUGCUUAAUUUUCAAAUUCUGGUGAAAUGAUUGUGACCUCGAUUUGCUGUUUAUUUUGAUCUAACAUUUACAUGUCAC